This 373-nucleotide ribosomal RNA is filed under the name uncultured organism. RNAcentral describes it as "partial 16S ribosomal RNA". It matches the Rfam family "Bacterial small subunit ribosomal RNA", at positions 527 to 896 of the family's 1533-position model. The record is from RNAcentral.
GUAGGUGGCAAGCGUUGUCCGGAAUUAUUGGGCGUAAAGCGCGCGCAGGCGGUCCUUUACGUCUGAUGUGAAAGCCCACGGCUCAACCGUGGAGGGUCAUUGGAAACUGGGGGACUUGAGUACAGAAGAGGAAAGCGGAAUUCCACGUGUAGCGGUGAAAUGCGUAGAGAUGUGGAGGAACACCAGUGGCGAAGGCGGCUUUCUGGUCUGUAACUGACGCUGAGGCGCGAAAGCGUGGGGAGCAAACAGGGAUUAGAUACCCUGGUAGUCCACGCCGUAAACGAUGAGUGCUAAGUGUUAGGGGGUUUCCGCCCCCUUAGUGCUGCAGCUAACGCAUUAAGCACUCCGCCUGGGGAGUACGGCCGCAAGGCUG